This 695-nucleotide unclassified non-coding RNA is filed under the name Hevea brasiliensis (rubber tree). Lineage: Eukaryota; Viridiplantae; Streptophyta; Magnoliopsida; Malpighiales; Euphorbiaceae. The record is from RNAcentral.
AUCAAUCUCAUGAUAGUGAUUAGGGGUUACCAGCUGUUUGGAUAGUAAUCGAAGAGUAAUGAAACUCUACGAUAGAAAUUAUGCGAUAAUUACAAGAGAUCCAAGAGCAAUUAUGCGCUAGGGUGAAUGUUCAUGAAAAUAGGAAUCAAGAACCUAUUCAAGUCGGUGGAGCUAACCUCGAUAAAGCUGAAUUUGAUCGUGAUCUUGUCAAUCCAAGGAGAAGAGCCAUGAUGAAUGAUGAUAUAAGAAAUGAUGAGGAGAUGACUUGGGAUAUGGUGCAUGUCAAGGACAAAGGAGAGCUGGCCGAAAUUUCUAACAAAACUACAUGAGAGAUGAUGAGUUUAAAUUGAAGAUGGAUAUAUCCCUACCUUUUGUGGAGAUCUUGAUAUUGAAGGUUUUCUUAAUUGGUUAACUAAGGUAGAUCGUUUCUUCGAGUAUGUUGAAAUUCCAGAAGAACGAAAGGUAAAAUUAAUGGCUUAUAGAUUAAAGGGAGGAGCUUCCGUGUAGUGGGAUUGAUUUAAAGAGACAAAGAGGUGAGAAGGGCACAAUCAAGUCACCACAUGGAGGAGGAUAUUAUAAUUAUUAAGGGGUAAAUUUUUUUAUUUAAAACUUACCAAAAUUACUUGUUGGGAAAUAGGAGUGUUAAUGAAUAUAGCGCUGAAUUCUUGAGGUUGGUAGCAAGAAAUCACUUGUCC